This 449-nucleotide ribosomal RNA is filed under the name uncultured bacterium. Its description in RNAcentral is "partial 16S ribosomal RNA". It matches the Rfam family "Bacterial small subunit ribosomal RNA", at positions 29 to 523 of the family's 1533-position model. The record is from RNAcentral.
AAUGAACGCUGGCGGCAUGCCUAACACAUGCAAGUCGAACGAAGGCUUCGGCCUUAGUGGCGCACGGGUGCGUAACGCGUGGGAAUCUGCCCCUUGGUUCGGAUUAACAGUUAGAAAUGACUGCUAAUACCGGACGAUGACGUAAGUCCAAAGAGUUAUCGCCGAGGGAUGAGCCCGCGUAGGAUUAGCUAGUUGGUGUGGUAAGAGCGCACCAAGGCGACGAUCCUUAGCUGGUCUGAGAGGAUGAUCAGCCACACUGGGACUGAGACACGGCCCAUAAUCCUACGGGGGGCAGCAGGGGGGAAUAUUGGACAAUGGGCGAAAGCCUGAUGCAGGAAUGCCGCGUGAGUGAUGAGGGCAUUAGGGUUGUAAAGCUCUUUUCCCCGGGAUGAUAAUGACAGUACCGGGAGAAUAAGCUCCGGCUAACUCCGUGCCAGCCGCCGCCGUAA